Molecule: long non-coding RNA, 810 nt
Organism: Hermetia illucens (black soldier fly)
Lineage: Eukaryota; Metazoa; Arthropoda; Insecta; Diptera; Stratiomyidae
Exons: 3
Source: RefSeq, a predicted model, not a curated record
UCUACUGCGAGAAUAGCAGAGGGAUAUCGUGGCUGUAUAUAUGUUACAAAGUCUCACAAAUAAUUGGAAGAAGGCUCGAAGUUUUCUCAUAGCAUUCUGUUUGUGGAUACCAGAUUUCAACGUGAAAAGUCAACGCUUGUCCAUAUAUCUUAGGAGAAUCUUAGACCCACUGAAGGAUUCGCUAGCUUCAAUUGGCAGGUCAUGUAGAGCAUGCCGACGACAGAAGCAUUCCCAAACGCCUAGUUAAAGUUAAGGUGGAAGGUGAACAACUACCUGGAAAACCUCGAAGCAGAUAAGAGGUUUCAGUGGACAACGCCACAGGUUCCUCGAUUGAUUGCAGAUUGCUGGAGCGAGAAGAGUGAAAACAAAAACUUCGAGAGGCCAAUAACGGACAUAGGACAGCAGCGCCAUAGAAGAAGAGUUCUCCUGGAUCGGUCAUUUCCCCAAUGGAAUGGAAUGGAAUCGCUAUUGAAAACCAAGGUAAUGAGACUGUACAGUCAGGGUUUUGGAAUGAUGGUCGAUGUAUACUUUGCUUUCAAAUUUGCAGCCAAACCCGUCGAGAGACGGGGAAAGGGGGCGAUUCCUUCGAGUACGUAGGGAAAGCCCAGGGUGCGAGUGUAGUCAAGAGAGAAGAAUAUUCUUAUUGAUUUUUUGAAAGUUUGUCGUUUAUGAGAUCUUAGGUUUCCAAGCACUGUCAACCUGUUUCAAAGAAAGCUUGAAUAAGCAGGACACCGGUUAUAAAUCAUUAAUGUCCCACAUAACUAUACCUUCUAUCAAUUUACUUCCUCCCACUUACGCAUGUAAGGGGUG